This is a long non-coding RNA of Sapajus apella (tufted capuchin), 531 nucleotides long. RefSeq lists it as uncharacterized. The record is from RefSeq and is a predicted model, not a curated record. The transcript is spliced from 3 exons. NCBI's taxonomy places the organism in Eukaryota, Metazoa, Chordata, Mammalia, Primates, Cebidae.
UUGAUGGGAAUUGCAGUGAAUUGCUAGACUGCUUUUGGCAGAAUGGUCAUUUUCACAAUGUUGAUUCUAUCCAUCCAUGAGCAUGGGAUGUGUUUCCAUUUGUUUGUGUUGUCUAUGAUUUCUUUCAGCAGUGUUGUGUAGUUUUCUUUGUAGAAGACAUUCAUGUUCGUGGUUAGGUAUAUUCCUAAGUAUUUUGUUUUUUUGCAGGUACUGUGAAAGGGGUUGAAUUAUUGAUUUGAUUCUCAUCUUGGUCACUGUUGGUAUAUAACAGAACUACUGAUUUGUAUAUGUUAAUUCUGUAUACUGAAACUUUGAUGAACUCAUCUACAAGAUUUAGGAGCUAUUUGGAUGAGUCUUGAAGGUUUUCUAUGUACAUGAUAACAUCUUCAGCAAACAGCAACAGUUUGACUUUCUCUUUACUGAUUUGGAUGCAUGCCCUUUAUAGUUCUUUCUCCAGUUGCUUUGGCUAGGACUUCCAAUACUCUAUUGAAUAGAAGUGGUGAAAGUGGGCAUCCUUGUCUUGUUCCAGUU